Leptonychotes weddellii (Weddell seal) is the source of this 287-nucleotide long non-coding RNA. RefSeq lists it as uncharacterized. The record is from RefSeq and is a predicted model, not a curated record. Lineage: Eukaryota; Metazoa; Chordata; Mammalia; Carnivora; Phocidae.
CACCCCCCAGCCCGACCGCCCGCGAGGACCGGGCGAGCCCGCGCGCCCACGGGGAAGGCUCGCCCUCUGGUGAUUGACAGCAUCUGGAACUUCCUCCUUUCUGAAAUUUGGAAUGCCAGCGCACCAUUCUCUGAGUAGCCCUCGGAUCUCUCCCUCCUGGGGGACAUUUCCAGCCUGCCAGCCUGCUCUACAUACUCGAACUCAAGACCACAACAUCAACUCUUCCCUGAGUUUCCAGCCUGCUGGCCUGCCCUAUGGAUUUUGGACUUGGCAGCCCCCAUAAUUGC